GGCGUGUAGACUACAGCGGGCGGCCCUCGGAUCGGUACUGCGGGUGGGAUUUGGAGGCGGACCCUGUGGGCAGGCUUGAAGGGGGGCCCAGACCUUGAGCUGUGUUAGGGGCCCCAAAAUUUCUGAUGGCGGCCCUACUCUCCUCUACUCCGUCUCCUACCACUCCCAUUAUCGUUUAUAACUUCUUAUCCCUCCUUCACUUCCA
Pelobates cultripes (western spadefoot toad) is the source of this 205-nucleotide non-coding RNA. The record is from the annotation of a GenBank genome assembly. Lineage: Eukaryota; Metazoa; Chordata; Amphibia; Anura; Pelobatidae.